UUACAUAACGGAGGAAAGAAACCAACCGGGAUUGCCUUAGUAGCGGCGAGUGAAGCGGCAAGAGCUCAAUUUGAAAUCUAGUACCUUUGGUGCUCGAGUUGUAAUUUGUAGAGUAGUGCCUUGGGGCCGUUCCUUGCCUAUGUUCCUUGGAACAGGACGUCAUGGAGGGUGAGAACCCCGUGUGGCGAGGGGUGCGGUUCUGUGUAAGGCCUGCUCGAAGAGUCGAGUUGUUUGGGAAUGCAGCUCUAAGUGGGUGGUAAAUUCCAUCUAAAGCUAAAUACAGGCGAGAGACCGAUAGCGAACAAGUACAGUGAUGGAAAGAUGAAAAGAACUUUGAAAAGAGAGUGAAAAAGUACGUGAAAUUGUUGAAAGGGAAGGGCAUUUGAUCAGACAUGGUGUUUUGCGCCCCCUGCUCCUUGUGGGUGGGGGAAUCUCGCAGCUCACUGGGCCAGCAUCAGUUUUGGCGGCUGGAUAAAUCCGGAGGAAUGUGGCUUCUCUCGGGAAGUGUUAUAGCCUGCGGGAAUACGGCCAGCCGGGACUGAGGAACGCGACGCAAGUCAAGAUCUGCUAAAUGUAUAUUC
RNAcentral lists this ribosomal RNA (581 nucleotides) under fungal yeast sp. DY45. RNAcentral describes it as "eukaryotic LSU rRNA". It matches the Rfam family "Eukaryotic large subunit ribosomal RNA", at positions 43 to 513 of the family's 3401-position model. The record is from RNAcentral. Lineage: Eukaryota; Fungi.